AUCACUUGGUAGUUUAAAGAGGAUGUUUGGGAAACAACUAGUGCUGUUAUAGACUUUUACAAAGGCUAUUGCUCAUCCUGCCAACUUCCUGUACUCAAUGAUGUCCAUGCUCUGAGCUUCAAGACUGGAGUAUCCAAUUCUCACAGGGCUUCCAUCAAUGAAUGUCCUGGGCAAACCCAGGAACACAGAAAGCUGGCUAGAGCAGCCUUUGACGAUGGCAAGGAGAAAGCUGUACCCACUCGUGAAAUAAAUGGACCUGGACCCCACAGCCCUUUGUGGUAGUGUCUUGGCAGCUGAACAAAGGCAGCAGCAUUUCUACAUCCAGUUUGUAAAGCCUCA
This 339-nucleotide long non-coding RNA is filed under the name Cricetulus griseus (Chinese hamster). RNAcentral's name for it is "lncRNA (ENSCGRG00015039272.1)". Lineage: Eukaryota; Metazoa; Chordata; Mammalia; Rodentia; Cricetidae. The record is from RNAcentral.